CUUUCCUUCUCCUCCUCCUCACUUCCCAUACUCUUCCUCCCUCUCAUGAACCGUAUUUUAAUUGAGUUUUGAUUGUAUCAACCAUUCAUUAGCCUUUUCAAAGGUUGUAAAUGUAAACCAUUCAUCACGAUAAAGAAUCUGAAGUGAGGCUGGAUGUCGCCAUCUAAAUCUUAAGUUAUAUUUUGUUAAAGUUUGAAAUAUUGGUGAAAAGUCUCUUCUUUUAGCUCUAGUAAAAUAUGAAAUAUCUGGGAUGGCAAAUAUUUCUCUGAUUUUUUCUUCUGUUGGUCUGUUAUUCUUUAAUGCU
Molecule: non-coding RNA, 304 nt
Organism: Pelobates cultripes (western spadefoot toad)
Lineage: Eukaryota; Metazoa; Chordata; Amphibia; Anura; Pelobatidae
Source: the annotation of a GenBank genome assembly